RNAcentral lists this unclassified non-coding RNA (275 nucleotides) under uncultured fungus. RNAcentral's name for it is "partial contains small subunit ribosomal RNA, internal transcribed spacer 1, and 5.8S ribosomal RNA". The stretch from base 1 to 73 matches the Rfam family "Eukaryotic small subunit ribosomal RNA", at positions 1759 to 1831 of the family's 1831-position model. The record is from RNAcentral. Lineage: Eukaryota; Fungi.
GCAAACUUGGUCAUUUAGAGGAAGUACAAGUCGUAACAAGGUUUCCGUAGGUGAACCUGCGGAAGGAUCAUUAACGAAUCGUGCUUUGCCCUUGAGGCAAACAUUAGUGCUCUCCAGGCAACUGGGGGUGCAAAAUAUAUGAGAUAGUGUUUUUGUGAUGUGAUUUUUUGUUGAUGAUGUAUAUAUCAUUUUAUGUGCUAUAUAUCAUUACAUGCAAUAUAUAUGACACUUUUAACAAUGGAUCUCUUGGCUCUUGCAUCGAUGAAGAACGCAGC